This 207-nucleotide ribosomal RNA is filed under the name uncultured bacterium. Its description in RNAcentral is "partial 16S ribosomal RNA". It matches the Rfam family "Bacterial small subunit ribosomal RNA", at positions 568 to 774 of the family's 1533-position model. The record is from RNAcentral.
UGCGUAGGCGGUUUCGUGUGUCGGAUGUGAAAGCCCACGGCUCAACCGUGGAACUGCAUUCGAAACUACGAAACUAGAGUGCAGGAAGGGAGAGCGGAAUUCCUGGUGUAGCGGUGAAAUGCGUUGAUAUCAGGAGGAACACCGGUGGCGAAGGCGGCUCUCUGGAAUGUUACUGACGCUGAGGCACGAAAGCGUGGGGAGCAAACA